CAAUAGCGUAUAUUAAAGUUGUUGCAGUUAAAAAGCUCGUAGUUGGAUUUCGGGACGGGCCAGUUGGUCCGCCGCAAGGUGUGUUACUGACUGGUCUGUUCUUCUUCGCAAAGACUGCGUGUGCUCUUCGUUGAGUGUGCGUAGGAUUUACGACGUUUACUUUGAAAAAAUUAGAGUGUUCAAAGCAGGCUAUCGCUUGAAUACAUGAGCACGGAAUAAUGGAAUAGGACUUUGGUCCUAUUUUGUUGGUUUCUAGGACCGAAGUAAUGAUUAAGAGGGACAAUUGGGGGCAUCCGUAUUUCGUUGUCAGAGGUGAAAUUCUUGGAUUUACGAAAGACGAACAACUGCGAAAGCACUUGCCAAGAGUGUUUUCAUUAA
This 378-nucleotide ribosomal RNA is filed under the name uncultured eukaryote. RNAcentral's name for it is "partial 18S ribosomal RNA". It matches the Rfam family "Eukaryotic small subunit ribosomal RNA", at positions 592 to 976 of the family's 1831-position model. The record is from RNAcentral.